GGGGCCGUAGCUGAGCAGGGAGAGCGUCGCGUUCGCAAUGCGAAGGUCGGGAGUUCUAUCCUCCUCGGCUCCACCA
This 76-nucleotide transfer RNA is filed under the name Gammaproteobacteria bacterium. RNAcentral describes it as "tRNA-Ala". It matches the Rfam family "tRNA". Rfam says of the family: Transfer RNA (tRNA) molecules are approximately 80 nucleotides in length. Lineage: Bacteria; Pseudomonadati; Pseudomonadota; Gammaproteobacteria. RNAcentral also lists the same sequence under 1 other name. The record is from RNAcentral.